Long non-coding RNA from Frankliniella occidentalis (western flower thrips), 609 nucleotides. RefSeq lists it as uncharacterized. The transcript has 3 exons. The record is from RefSeq and is a predicted model, not a curated record. Lineage: Eukaryota; Metazoa; Arthropoda; Insecta; Thysanoptera; Thripidae.
GCGUCCUUCACGACGGUGUUGUGAGGAUGCGUUAGUCGACCGUGUUCUGUUUGACGUACCCAGUCUGUGCGUAGAACUCUGUAUUGAAGGCUUUGCUUAGGCAAUCGUGGGACUUAAAAUGAUUUUAAAUUUUACCUGAAUAUUUUAAUAGUAGAACAGAACAGACAAGUUGUGGCAGGCAUCAAGUAACUGUGUAAAAAGCAGUGAAAAUGCACACCGAAUACCUUUCGCCAAGAACUUCCAGCAUACAAAGCAUCACGGAUGGCGAGAGAGAUGGGCCGCUGACGCAGCAUUUACGAUGGUGGCUGAAACACAUUUCACCUGGACGCUUGAACAACCAAACCCACCGACUGCUAAUGUUUAUAAGAGGCAGCAAGGUUGGAAUGUUUGUCAGUAUCAACGUACUGACCUUAGCCAUCGCUGACGCCUGUCUAUCUGGGUCUGUAUUCAAAAGCCCAGUUCUUGCUCGUUUUGGUUUGGGCGUGUAUUCGUGUCUGUGGUCGCAAUUGGUGUUCCUCAGCCGCACACAGCCUCUGCUUGCGUGUCUCCGAAGGCUAAUAGGCCUUACGACAGAGUUUGAACGCCACGGCACAGCAACUGACCUACUGG